AUGUAUGUAUGUGUUAAUAUUUUAUUGAAACCAUUGAUGUCCCUCUUUGCAGAACUCAAACUAACUGGAGUUAAGGACACACAAGUCUGCUUGUGUGAGGAGGUGGUUUUCUCAGCUUCUUCUGAAGAGAGGGAAAGAUCGUUUAAGAUGUUAAAAGCAAGAGACAUAGGAGAGCAUCAUUCCUUUGAGAUUUUAUGUAAGUUAUUUUUAGAAAAUAAAUUUUUCUUUUGUCUCCUGCCAGUUUACUUCACAUUUUGAUGCAACAACAGUGUGAUUACGUGCUCAUUUCAUUAAGACCAUUGAUGUCUGUGUUUUUUAUUGCAGAACUCAAACCAACUUUGGAGUUGUCUGAUUUGGAGAGUCAUUAUUCUUGGUCUUCGCUCUUAAAGGUAAAGUUCACACAAAAAAUCAUUUACUUGCCCUCAAGUCAUUCCAAACCUAUAAGACUUUUGUCUGUCUUUACAACAUAAAUUAAUAUAUUUUUAGUUUUCUCAUAAUAUUUGUUAAUCCAUUUAUAGUUUAGAUGAUCAGUAUUUUCAAGCUUCAUAAAUAUAGAGUCAUUGUAGAUGUAAAUUCUGAUAUUUAUAUAUGAAUACAUCUUAAAUUAUAUGAUAGCAAACAUGUAUGUUCAAAAUAAAAUACUGGUCUCCCAGACCAGCAAUGGAGGACACAAAAAGAGAAUAUUAAAUGUAUUCAUAUGUUUUCCAAAAAAUGAGCAGAUUUUGUAUGAGUCAGGAAAAACAUGAGGAGAGUAAAUUAUGAACAUUUUAAUUAUUUGGUGAACUAACGGUUUGAAGAGCAGCCCUCCAUGUACAUGAAUAUUGUGAGGUAUGUGAAUGUCAUGUCUGUUUUAAUGUUUCAGUAAAGAAGCUUUCUGAAAGCAAUAUUUAUUCAAACAAUAUCGCAUGUCCUCACACUAGUGCUGCCAUUAUAGCAUUCUGGAGCGCUGUGGUGGACUGAGACAUUAAACAACCGCACAAAGUGUUGAAACUUUAAAACCGAUUAUUUACCUAUCCUUACGGAUGUGAAUACACCUCUACCUGAAAAUGGAUAGUUGAAUUAAAUGUUUAAUUUU
This 1075-nucleotide long non-coding RNA is filed under the name Carassius auratus (goldfish). RNAcentral's name for it is "lncRNA (ENSCARG00000039045.1)". The record is from RNAcentral. Lineage: Eukaryota; Metazoa; Chordata; Actinopteri; Cypriniformes; Cyprinidae.